RNAcentral lists this ribosomal RNA (397 nucleotides) under uncultured bacterium. Its description in RNAcentral is "bacterial SSU rRNA". It matches the Rfam family "Bacterial small subunit ribosomal RNA", at positions 29 to 429 of the family's 1533-position model. The record is from RNAcentral.
AUUGAACGCUGGCGGCAUGCCUUACACAUGCAAGUCGAACGGCAGCACGGGGGCAACCCUGGUGGCGAGUGGCGAACGGGUGAGUAAUACAUCGGAACGUACCCAGUAGUGGGGGAUAGCCCGGCGAAAGCCGGAUUAAUACCGCAUACGACCUACGGGUGAAAGCGGGGGAUCGCAAGACCUCGUGCUGCCGGAGCGGCCGAUGUCAGAUUAGGUUGUUGGUGGGGUAAAAGCCUACCAAGCCGACGAUCUGUAGCUGGUCUGAGAGGACGACCAGCCACACUGGGACUGAGACACGGCCCAGACUCCUACGGGAGGCAGCAGUGGGGAAUUUUGGACAAUGGGCGCAAGCCUGAUCCAGCCAUGCCGCGUGCGGGAAGAAGGCCUCGGUUGUAAG